Molecule: long non-coding RNA, 1053 nt
Organism: Siniperca chuatsi (mandarin fish)
Lineage: Eukaryota; Metazoa; Chordata; Actinopteri; Centrarchiformes; Sinipercidae
Exons: 2
Source: RefSeq, a predicted model, not a curated record
GGAGGGGUCGAGGGUUGAAAGGAGGAAAGGGAGAGUGUAGGCAGGCAAGAGGGAAGAGAAAUUGGACAGAGACAAUGUGAAAACACAGACAGCAGAGGAAGGCUCGGGAGAGACAACACACAGAAAUGACAAACACUGAAAACAUGCUUGCUGAGAGAGAUAACCAUUGAAAGAUGUACGAGAAGGAAGCUGCUUGCAUGAGUAUGAGGGCUGCAGGGUGAUGCUGGGGCAGAAGCAUGGCCUCUGCUAUUCUGCAGCGAAUGUCUCCGGCUGCGUCUUCUCUCCAGGCCACGCCUCUCGUUAGUACCACCAACACUGGCCCGUCGGCGGUCCUUGCGGCCACUGGGAGGCAACUGGGUUUCAUCGUCUCCGUCCUCAUGGCGGAGAGUCAUCUGGAUCAAAGAAAUUACAGAGAAACUGAGUAAAUAAACUGUAUUCCAAAAAAUAUGAAAAGGGUCAAAAAUCUCAAAAAUUAAAGUCACAUUCCACUUGUUUAUUUGGCUCACAUCACAAUAGAAAAAUGCUCAUGGAUAAAUAAAAUGUAUGUUUGUUGUUCAUAAAGACUUAAUUUCUGGCUGCUGUAUGAGUACGUGAGAAGUCAUGUAACCUACAACCUAUUAUGAGACACACAUGCCUAUUAACAUUAAGGCUGGUUAUGUGAUACUGUGGGCAGUGAAGGCUUCCUCACCUCGUAAAUGUUGAACUGUUCUACGAGGUCGAGGUCAGUGCCUUUCCUGCUCAGGUGUCUCUGGGCCAUGGCUUCGAUGCCCUGCUCCUCCAGAAAGUCCACCAUGUCAUAGUAUGAGUCCUGGUCUGGGAGGCCUGCCAGAGUCUGAAACACAAACGCAUUCAAUAAAAAAAAUAUGGUAAGAGUUCUAACCUUGUCUCUGCAAUAUUUUAGAUUAACUGUGCGAGAAAAAAAUAAAUUGGAACUAUAAAGAAGGAUCACCUGAGAGACAAAAAGGGAGUAAAAUUACUUCUGAAGCCGUUUUGUUUAAAUCUUGUAUUGAAAUGUAAUCUGUAUGCUAUAUAAAUAAACUUCAAUCAGUACUA